Molecule: ribosomal RNA, 335 nt
Filed under: uncultured Planctomycetales bacterium
Lineage: Bacteria; Pseudomonadati; Planctomycetota; Planctomycetia; Planctomycetales
Description: bacterial SSU rRNA
Rfam family: Bacterial small subunit ribosomal RNA
Source: RNAcentral
CUAAGGCUCCAGAGGAAGCCACGGCUAACUCUGUGCCAGCAGCCGCGGUAAUACAGAGGCGGCAAGCGUUGUUCGGAAUUAUUGGGCGUAAAGAGCACGUAGGCGGCCUUGCAAGUCAGUUGUGAAAGCCUUCCGCUUAACGGAAGAAUGCCAGCUGAUACUACAGGGCUUGAGUACGGGAGGGGAGAGUGGAUCUUCUGGUGGAGCGGUGAAAUGCGUAGAUAUCAGAAGGAACGCCGGCGGCGAAAACGACUCUCUGGCCCGAAACUGACGCUGAGUGUGCGAAAGCUAGGGGAGCAAACGGGAUUAGAUACCCCGGUAGUCCUAGCCGUAAA